Molecule: ribosomal RNA, 591 nt
Filed under: uncultured bacterium
Lineage: Bacteria
Description: bacterial SSU rRNA
Rfam family: Bacterial small subunit ribosomal RNA
Source: RNAcentral
GGCCCACCAAGGCGACGACGGGUAGCCGGCCUGAGAGGGCGACCGGCCACACUGGGACUGAGACACGGCCCAGACUCCUACGGGAGGCAGCAGUGGGGAAUAUUGCACAAUGGGCGCAAGCCUGAUGCAGCGACGCCGCGUGAGGGAUGACUGCCUUCGGGUUGUAAACCUCUUUCAGCAGGGACGAAGCGAAAGUGACGGUACCUGCAGAAGAAGCACCGGCCAACUACGUGCCAGCAGCCGCGGUAAUACGUAGGGUGCAAGCGUUGUCCGGAAUUAUUGGGCGUAAAGAGCUCGUAGGCGGUUCGUCACGUCGGCUGUGAAAACCUGGGGCUCAACUCCGGGCCUGCAGCCGAUACGGGCGGACUAGAAUUCGGUAGGGGAGACUGGAAUUCCUGGUGUAGCGGUGAAAUGCGCAGAUAUCAGGAGGAACACCGGUGGCGAAGGCGGGUCUCUGGGCCGAUAUUGACGCUGAGGAGCGAAAGCGUGGGGAGCGAACAGGAUUAGAUACCCUGGUAGUCCACGCCGUAAACGUUGGGCGCUAGGUGUGGGCCACAUUCCACGUGGUCUGUGCCGCAGCUAACGCAUUAA